This 269-nucleotide ribosomal RNA is filed under the name uncultured prokaryote. RNAcentral's name for it is "partial 16S ribosomal RNA". It matches the Rfam family "Bacterial small subunit ribosomal RNA", at positions 524 to 792 of the family's 1533-position model. The record is from RNAcentral.
UACGUAGGUGGCAAGCGUUAUCCGGAAUUAUUGGGCGUAAAGAGCGCGCAGGUGGUUGAUUAAGUCUGAUGUGAAAGCCCACGGCUUAACCGUGGAGGGUCAUUGGAAACUGGUCGACUUGAGUGCAGAAGAGGGAAGUGGAAUUCCUAGUGUAGCGGUGAAAUGCGUAGAGAUUAGGAAGAACACCAGUUGCGAAGGCGGCUCUCUGGACUGUAACUGACGCUGAGGCACGAAAGCGUGGGGAGCAAACAGGAUUAGAUACCCCUGUA